UACGUAGGGUGCGAGCGUUGCCCGGAUUUAUUGGGCGUAAAGGGCGCGUAGGCGGCCACGCACGUCCGUUGUGAAAUCGCCCGGCUCAACUGGGCGGGGUCAGCGGAUACGGUGUGGCUCGAGCAAGCUAGGGGGCAAUGGAAUUCCCGGUGUAGUGGUGGAAUGCGUAGAUAUCGGGAGGAACGCCAGUGGCGAAGGCGGUUGCCUGGAGCUUUGCUGACGCUGAGGCGCGAAAGCGUGGGGAGCGAUCCGG
RNAcentral lists this ribosomal RNA (253 nucleotides) under uncultured bacterium. RNAcentral's name for it is "partial 16S ribosomal RNA". It matches the Rfam family "Bacterial small subunit ribosomal RNA", at positions 524 to 776 of the family's 1533-position model. The record is from RNAcentral.